RNAcentral lists this ribosomal RNA (370 nucleotides) under Heterocarpus woodmasoni. RNAcentral's name for it is "partial 16S ribosomal RNA". It matches the Rfam family "Bacterial large subunit ribosomal RNA", at positions 2048 to 2617 of the family's 2925-position model. Lineage: Eukaryota; Metazoa; Arthropoda; Malacostraca; Decapoda; Pandalidae. The record is from RNAcentral.
UUUACUUUUAAGUGAAAAGGCUUAAAUAAGUUAGGGGGACGAUAAGACCCUAUAAAACUUUACAGAUAUGAUUAUAUUUAUUAAAAUGGAGUUUAAUAGUAUUUAUUAUUUUAUCUGUUGUGUUGGGGCGACAAAGAUAUAAUAGGGUAACUGUUAGUUUUAUUUAAUAGUGAUAAUUAGUUUAGUUGAUCCUUUAUUAGAGAUUAUAAGAAUAAGUUACUUUAGGGAUAACAGCGUAAUUUUCUUUAAGAGUUCGUAUCGACGAGAAUAGUUGCGACCUCGAUGUUGAAUUAAGAUUUCCUUUAGGCGGAGGAGUUUAAACGGUAGGUCUGUUCGACCUUUAAAAUCUUACGUGAUCUGAGUUCAGACC